Long non-coding RNA from Oreochromis aureus, 1296 nucleotides. The record is from Ensembl. Lineage: Eukaryota; Metazoa; Chordata; Actinopteri; Cichliformes; Cichlidae.
CUGAAAGUCACAUCCUUAAGAAAUAAAAAAUCCAAAGACCUUGAACAUAUUUAUUGUCUUUAAAGCAGCUUCUGAAUUAUUGAAUUCAACAGUUCAUGUUUCUUAUUUACAACAGCUGUGCUCAGUUCUGAGAGCUCUUCAUUUCUAAUGAUCGCUGGACUAAUUUCUGGAAUCACAUUUAUUUUCCUCCUGCUCUUGCUGUGUUGCUGCAUGAAGUCCAAAGUGUUUAAUAAAGGUUCAGCUGAUGACCAGAGGGUGAGUCAGGAUGAAGAUCAGCAGCAGGUGAUCGUUGUGUCUAUGAGACAAUCAGAGGCUCUAAAAACACUGAGACUGGUCAAAUAGAAGGUGAUUCAUGUGUGAUUCAGCUCAAAGUGAUUAACAAGACACAGCCCCGUGGUGACCCAGAGGAGAGCUCUGACUAUUAUAAUGUCAAUCCAAAUUCAACCCCAGGUCCAUAAAGAGCAGCUCACCAUCAACAGAAUGAGGAAAGUGACUGAUGACAACAGCUUCUGUUGAGGAGACAAUAUGACAGGUUUUACAUCACAUUAUAGCCAAACGUCUAAAAUAUUUUUAAAAUUGUUUUCUGUUGAUAUAUUUUCUGUUUAAUUUUUCUCUUUGAUUUCCUCCCUGACACUGUGGUAUCAGUUUGUUAGAAAUAAUAUUAAAUGGUAUAAUGUACACUUAGUUUAGCAGAAAUGUGUAUUACCAUUUAGUAUCCAUGUUAUCUGGGAGCAUUUAUAGCUUUUAUAGAAAAUAUAUAAAAUGCAGCUACAAGACAUUUGAAACACUUGAUGUUUAGCAGCUAAUAAUCUGAUUUUAAAUUCAGCUUUUGCUGUGUCACAUGCAGGUAACAGUGAAUAUUAUUGCUGUAUGUGAUCUCCUACAUUAUGUCAGACUUAAUGAUGCAACACAUGCUGUAUGGAUUUGAAUGUAUCAGUGAAUGUAUUUUGUAUGUGUGUGUUUUCUCUGGAGUUUUUUAUUUCUAGCUAUGAGCUGUAUUUCUGUUGUAUCCUACAUCAUGUUUGUAAAAUAAAACUCAGAACCAAAGGUUUAUAUUAAGCUUUUAUUUAAAUUAUGCACUAUGAACACAGACAAUUAUAAUUAUAUUGAAGCUUAAUCUACAGCUUUAUUGGUUCCUUUAAUUGCUGCUAAUUUUAUUCAUUUUGAUAUUUGAUAUUUUGUGUUAAAGUGUAACAGGACAAGCAGCAAAGUCAGCUUUUUGUCACAUUUCUACUUUUCGUCCUCCUCUUCUUCUUUCGUCUUCAACAACUGUGCUGUAAAAACUUCCAAACUUUG